CGGAGGCCCGUGAGCAACAUUCUGCAGCUAGCUCUAGCAGCACACCGGAGUCCUGCCAACCGGAGAGAAACGAACAAAAUUGUCCUCUUUACGUUUCUUUUCCCGUGCUUUAAGAUAACCAGAUGAGGCUACUGUGUUCAUAAAGGAACAAAAGAUUCACCGUGAUGUCGUCGCUUUGGAGAAUGCAGAAAUGGCACUUCACAUUCCUGUCUGUGGAGUCUGCAACACAUCAUGGCAGAAAAGGCGUUUUUGCUGAUUUUCUCUUCCCAUCAGACACUAGACUACAUCGCUUUUUGGACACUGUUAUUGUUAAUGUUUGUAAGUGCAUUUGAUGGAGCUUUGACCUGUUGAGGAAUCAAUCAGGUCUAAUUUCAGUCAUUUCUGUCUAAACUUUUUUUUUUUUUUUGCUAGAACUGUCAAGUCUUGAUUUUGUUAAUUUUGUCUUUUUUCUUGAUACGUGUGACAGCACACAUCAGAGAAUACCGUUUGAUAACUGACAACUUUUCCUUCUAAUUUGACUAAAUGCUUUUGUCAAUUUUCAAUAAAUAUGUAUAAUUAUACACCUUUUA
This is a long non-coding RNA of Oryzias melastigma (Indian medaka), 569 nucleotides long. RefSeq lists it as uncharacterized. NCBI's taxonomy places the organism in Eukaryota, Metazoa, Chordata, Actinopteri, Beloniformes, Adrianichthyidae. The record is from RefSeq and is a predicted model, not a curated record. The transcript is spliced from 2 exons.